RNAcentral lists this ribosomal RNA (263 nucleotides) under uncultured Staphylococcus sp. RNAcentral describes it as "partial 16S ribosomal RNA". It matches the Rfam family "Bacterial small subunit ribosomal RNA", at positions 99 to 355 of the family's 1533-position model. Lineage: Bacteria; Bacillati; Bacillota; Bacilli; Caryophanales; Staphylococcaceae. The record is from RNAcentral.
CGGACGGGUGAGUAACACGUGGAUAACCUACCUAUAAGACUGGGAUAACUUCGGGAAACCGGAGCUAAUACCGGAUAAUAUAUUGAACCGCAUGGUUCAAUAGUGGAAGACGGUUUUGCUGUCACUUAUAGAUGGAUCCGCGCUGCAUUAGCUAGUUGGUAAGGUAACGGCUUACCAAGGCAACGAUGCGUAGCCGACCUGAGAGGGUGAUCGGCCACACUGGAACUGAGACACGGUCCAGACUCCUACGGGAGGCAGCAGUC